RNAcentral lists this small nuclear RNA (145 nucleotides) under Pongo abelii (Sumatran orangutan). It matches the Rfam family "U2 spliceosomal RNA", at positions 40 to 185 of the family's 192-position model. Rfam says of the family: U2 is a small nuclear RNA (snRNA) component of the spliceosome (involved in pre-mRNA splicing). Complementary binding between U2 snRNA (in an area lying towards the 5' end but 3' to hairpin I) and the branchpoint sequence (BPS) of the intron results the bulging out of an unpaired adenosine, on the BPS, which initiates a nucleophilic attack at the intronic 5' splice site, thus starting the first of two transesterification reactions that mediate splicing. Lineage: Eukaryota; Metazoa; Chordata; Mammalia; Primates; Hominidae. The record is from RNAcentral.
CUAUUCUUAUCAGUUUAAUAUCUGAUGUGUCCUCUAUUUGGGCAUAAUAUAUAAAAUAAAUUUUUGGAGAAGGGAGAUACAAUAGGAGCUUGUUUCAUCCACUCUAUGCAUUAACCUGGUAUUGCAGUACCUCCAGGAAUGGUGC